GAUGAACGCUGGCGGCGUGCCUAAUACAUGCAAGUCGAGCGAACGGACGAGAAGCUUGCUUCUCUGAUGUUAGCGGCGGACGGGUGAGUAACACGUGGAUAACCUACCUAUAAGACUGGGAUAACUUCGGGAAACCGUAGCUAAUACCGGAUAAUAUUUUGAACCGCAUGGUUCAAAAGUGAAAGACGGUCUUGCUGUCACUUAUAGAUGGAUCCGCGCUGCAUUAGCUAGUUGGUAAGAUAACGGCUUACCAAGGCAACGAUGCAUAGCCGACCUGAGAGGGUGAUCGGCCACACUGGAACUGAGACACGGUCCAGACUCCUACGGGAGGCAGCAGUAGGGAAUCUUCCGCAAUGGGCGAAAGCAUGACGGAGCAACGCCGCGUGAGUGAUGAAGGUCUUCGGAUCGUAAAACUCUGUUAUUAGGGAAGAACAUAUGUGUAAGUAACUGUGCACAUCUUGACGGUACCUAAUCAGAAAGCCACGGCUAACUACGUG
This 497-nucleotide ribosomal RNA is filed under the name uncultured bacterium. Its description in RNAcentral is "partial 16S ribosomal RNA". It matches the Rfam family "Bacterial small subunit ribosomal RNA", at positions 28 to 507 of the family's 1533-position model. The record is from RNAcentral.